AAAAGUCAAGUCAGCAUGUAUGAGAACACCAAUCUAUAAAAGUGUUCAACAAAGGAGGGCAUUGUUAUUUUACUAUCAUUAUUUUUACUACUUUAUGUUAUUUUGUAAAAAGGCAAGUCACCGAGGUGUCUUCUAUUAAAUCGAUUAGCCUGGAAGAAGAACUAAGCAAGAUGAGAAACUGAAUGUAUCUGUGACUCUGCAAGUAGUCCUGACACAUUCUCCCUGACAUUGUGGUGGGAUCCAGGCCCAGACGCUGUGGAUAAAGUCAGUGCCAUCCCCAAUCAGCAGUUCUAAGCCUGCAGCUCAGGAGCCCUCAACCCUCUCACAAGUUCCUCAUGGCUCAGUCUUCCUUGAAGGCCUUAUCUCUCCAGCGGGUGCGGUCUAGGCUUCACUGAGUCCAGAUAUGUCAUCCAAAGAGCUAGGUAGUGGGAAGCCUCUGGUAGGAACAGCCUGGAUUCCAGCCAGAACUGCCUGGGAGGAGGCACCAGCUUACCAGAGCUCAGCCUCUGGGUGUUCUGCUGAUCUUGCUGCUGCUGCUGCUGUCGCCUGGCCAGCUUCUUCAUCUGAUAAGGAGAGGACCAUAGGAUUAGAAGUCAGGUGGCCUGCAGCAUGUUCACAAAGGCUGCUGUGGCCAAAAUAAUUAUUGAUAACAGAAUUUUUGAAUCAAGAGAACUACUCUAUCCAAUGAGCUAAGGUAACUUUGGGUGUUUCACGAAUAUCCAUAGUGACUGCUACCCCGAGUGAGCCCUGCCCAAAGAGAACAAGAUGAGAGCCAUCUGGAACCCGGCAGAGCCAGGUAGACAACUCUGAGGCCAGCAUGUGUGCCAGGGCUGUGGUGGAGACAGGACAACUGGAAUCCAGAUAAUAAAGAGAUGCAUUUAAACAUCUGCCUACCAUACAGGCACACAGUGAGGGUCUGGCAAGGUGUUGAGAAGAGA
Long non-coding RNA from Symphalangus syndactylus (siamang), 938 nucleotides. RefSeq lists it as uncharacterized. Lineage: Eukaryota; Metazoa; Chordata; Mammalia; Primates; Hylobatidae. The record is from RefSeq and is a predicted model, not a curated record.